This 18-nucleotide ribosomal RNA is filed under the name Bikinia letestui. RNAcentral describes it as "partial 26S ribosomal RNA". Lineage: Eukaryota; Viridiplantae; Streptophyta; Magnoliopsida; Fabales; Fabaceae. The record is from RNAcentral.
UGACGCGACCUCAGCUCA